This 483-nucleotide ribosomal RNA is filed under the name uncultured bacterium. RNAcentral describes it as "partial 16S ribosomal RNA". It matches the Rfam family "Bacterial small subunit ribosomal RNA", at positions 28 to 507 of the family's 1533-position model. The record is from RNAcentral.
GACGAACGCUGGCGGCGUGCUUAACACAUGCAAGUCGAACGCUGAAGCUCAGCUUUUGUUGGGUGGAUGAGUGGCGAACGGGUGAGUAACACGUGAGUAACCUGCCCCCUUCUUUGGGAUAACGCCCGGAAACGGGUGCUAAUACUGGAUAUUCACUGGUCUUCGCAUGGGGGUUGGUGGAAAGGGUUUUUCUGGUGGGGGAUGGGCUCGCGGCCUAUCAGCUUGUUGGUGGGGUGAUGGCCUACCAAGGCUUUGACGGGUAGCCGGCCUGAGAGGGUGACCGGUCACAUUGGGACUGAGCUACGGCCCAGACUACUACGGGAGGCAGCAGUGGGGAAUAUUGCACAAUGGGCGCAAGCCUGAUGCCGCGACGCCGCGUGAGGGAUGGAGGCCUUCGGGUUGUGAACCUCUUUCGCUCAUGGUCAAGCCGCAACAAUGGUUGUGGUGAGGGUAGUGGGUAAAGAAGCGCCGGCUAACUACGUG